RNAcentral lists this signal recognition particle RNA (100 nucleotides) under Alphaproteobacteria bacterium. RNAcentral's name for it is "signal recognition particle sRNA small type". It matches the Rfam family "Bacterial small signal recognition particle RNA". Rfam says of the family: The signal recognition particle (SRP) is a universally conserved ribonucleoprotein involved in the co-translational targeting of proteins to membranes. Archaeal SRP consists of a 7S RNA and homologues of the eukaryotic SRP19 and SRP54 proteins. The record is from RNAcentral. Lineage: Bacteria; Pseudomonadati; Pseudomonadota; Alphaproteobacteria.
AGCGGAAGCCGGCGCGGACGUUCUGGCCGCCAACCCGGUCAGGUUCGGAAGAAAGCAGCCGUAACGGUUUAAGGCGGGUCGCUGUCCGGUUUCCUUUUUU